GAUGAACGCUGGCGGCGUGCCUAAUACAUGCAAGUCGAGCGAACAGACGAGGAGCUUGCUCCUCUGACGUUAGCGGCGGACGGGUGAGUAACACGUGGAUAACCUACCUAUAAGACUGGGAUAACUUCGGGAAACCGGAGCUAAUACCGUAUAAUAUAUUGAACCGCAUGGUUCAAUAGUGAAAGACGGUUUUGCUGUCACUUAUAGAUGGUUCCGCGCCGCAUUAGCUAGUUGGUAAGGUAACGGCUUACCAAGGCAACGAUGCGUAGCCGACCUGAGAGGGUGAUCGGCCACACUGGAACUGAGACACGGUCCAGACUCCUACGGGAGGCAGCAGUAGGGAAUCUUCCGCAAUGGGCGAAAGCCUGACGGAGCAACGCCGCGUGAGUGAUGAAGGUCUUCGGAUCGUAAAACUCUGUUAUUAGGGAAGAACAAAUGUGUAAGUAACUAUGCACGUCUUGACGGUACCUAAUCAGAAAGCCACGGCUAACUACGUG
RNAcentral lists this ribosomal RNA (497 nucleotides) under uncultured bacterium. RNAcentral's name for it is "partial 16S ribosomal RNA". It matches the Rfam family "Bacterial small subunit ribosomal RNA", at positions 28 to 507 of the family's 1533-position model. The record is from RNAcentral.